AUGUGCACCCUAUUGAAGACUGUUGUGUUCCUGCUCUUCUACACUACCAUGGGAGAUGAUGUACUAGCAUGUUGUCAACGUGAAGCGGGAGCUCCUGCAGAGGAGCAGCCAAAUCAUGUCACAGAUGUUCUCAUGUGGUUGCACCAGCAGUAUCUAUGCCAGCAACACAUCAAGAAGAGCGAGAGCUAUGGGAAACCAAUCAACAUGGGAGGUAGAUUCUCUUCAGUGCUAGGCCACCGUUACACUGCGGAGAGUCCUAGAGGGAUCAAAACACAUACAAUUAGAAAGGAGAUGACAAGCCUGAAAAUAUAA
This 312-nucleotide ribosomal RNA is filed under the name Triticum aestivum (bread wheat). RNAcentral's name for it is "partial small subunit ribosomal RNA". The record is from RNAcentral. Lineage: Eukaryota; Viridiplantae; Streptophyta; Magnoliopsida; Poales; Poaceae.